AGUUCUACCUGGGGAUCACCACCUUUCAGAGUUUCUAUUGAGCCCUGGCCCUUGGAAAGGGCUUUCCUCUCCUGUGACUCUCACCUCCUCAUAAUCACCCUGUGUUUCUAUUAGGCUUGUGCCUGGGCUUGGCAUGGGGCAUGUGGAGCCGCUUCUUUGACCUGCAUGGAGACUUUCAGUGCCAAGUCUUUUCUGGAUUCUCAUUACACAGUCCUCUGUGAUGCUAGAUUUUAUAUUUUGUUAUAUCUUUAUAUUGUCACAGUUACAAGUUUAAACAGGACAAAAACUGAACCUAUGGAAGAAUCAAAUUUGAACACAAAUAUUUAAUUUCCUUAUAGCUUCCGAAAAGCAAAAUCUACCCCUAAUGUGAGCAGAUGCAAUUCUUUGCACUUACUGGAGGUAUACUGAAUUAUCAGAAGUCUGAACUGUCUUUUCACCUCAAUAUUGGUUAUUGUGUAUGUGCAGCAGCCACAAAUCUCCUGCCAGUAACACUCCAUGAAAAUGCAAAGCAUACAAGGAUACGUAUGUAUGGUUUUAUGGAAAUGUUAUAAUAGAAAGUAAACUGAGACUGAUAGAGUAGUAUUAGUUACCAUACUCCAGUUUGCACAGUUAAUAAAACAGCAUAUUUGUGAAACAAUUUGUAGGGGAUUGGCACUGCAGGAUUUUCCAGACUGUGGGUUAGAUAAACUGUUCUGUGUUCAGCAAGACACAUGUAAGGACUGCAAGCUAUUGCUGUGAGACAAAGUUUGAACCCUCUUAUGGAAUCAGAAGAAUGAAAUACUAGGAUAAGUGGAAUUGCAUCUUAAAAUUUGUAAAUUGAUGAAGUGGCUUGAGAGAGGAAGAGUAGUAGCAAACAACAGAAACAUCAUUCAGGAGAAGCGGUAAGGAAUAAAGAUAAUAGAGAAGCAGGACUAACACCUUCUCAUUAAAAUGAGGUAUUAUUGAUACUUCACCUUGUGAAGGGCAAAACUGGAGUUCAGAGGGCUCAGCCAGAGGAGAUGAGGACACGCAGAGUGGUAUUUGCAUGAGGUUCCGUCAUCCCAUAGUGAUAAAUCUGAGCACUCUCAGUGGUGCCAAUGCCUCACAGUACACUUCUGAGAAAGAAGGAACAGAUAACAAAGGAAAUGGUGAUGGAAUAUGCUAAGGAGUUGCAUAAGCACUGUAUUGAGGCCAGUUUCACUCUGGGAGCAAGUUGCUUCCCUGAUACAAAAGAUGGAGUGGAGCAAUACAGACCUAUAGUUUGUGUCUGCAUAAUAUCCACACAAGUACAAUCUGCAUUAUAUUUGUCAUUCCAAAACUGCAUGACAACUUGGAUCCAGCACAACACACAUGCACAGAGUACCUUGUCAGGUGGCGGUCUGGCACAACUCUGAUCUGGCUCAUAGCUCUCAGCAUCAUGUACUGCAUGGAAUCACACACAUUUCAAGGUGUUAGAGCUUAGCUGUAGUGUUGGAAUUAAAAAUGAAAGAUAUGAAAAAUGUAGCACUACUAUGUAAUUAAGGUGAAACUGGAUCUCAUUUAAAUGCAGUUGUCGAGUCAGCAUUUAACUUUUUGCAAGAUACAUGUUUUCAUGGGGUAAUUAGAAUAUCCAUAGCAUCUUGGUCUUCUGUAUUCUGACUUUUCUUUCCUGUUUUCUCUCUGAGUAAUAGCAGUCGUGCUACAUGAUGUGAAUUCGCUGUUACUCUUAAAAUGCAGCAUCUUAGGGAGAUACAAGAGAGAGCACAAAAGAUCUAAGCAAUAAAUAGCAAACGUAAACUCUGUUGGGCCUGGAUAGAGAGAGAAAUUUAGAAGAUCCUUUUUGUGAUACUAUGCAUAUAAGAGCAUUGCCAAAAAAUGGCACAUGGGAAAAGAUCUUUGUGGGAAAGGGACAUAGCCAUUGGCAUAUUUGAGAUGAUUGAAACCAAUGACCAAAUGCUUGUUAAAAGUUAGUUAUUAAUAUUUAUGCUGAGACUUUCAAAGGAGCCUAAGGGAGAUGUAUGCUCCCGACUCAUUGAAAUUCAACAGGAGCUGAGUGCCUAACUCCCUUAGCUUCUGCUAAAAAUCCCAGCCUUAAUCUCUGUAUAACAACCCGAUUUUGAUGUUUUACAAACCAUACUUCCAAUAAUAAAGAUAUGUUCAGGAAGCUGGCAGGAUGCUGUAGCUGUUCAUAUUGAGUUUCUGCAUUUUGACGUAGUUGUUUAAAGGACUUCAGAUGGAAAUUUGUAAAGCGAAGCAAUUUCCAGCUGAAAGCCUUGUAACACAGGUUUCAGCCUGUAUUAGCGAUGUAAACGUAUGCAUUCAACUUUGUAAUGAAAUUUAUGAAACCUAAUGAGCAUAUUUUUAUUGUGCUGUAAUACUAUGUUGGAUCUGUUCUCCCUUCUUCAUUUUUCUUUGCCUACAGCUACAAAUAAAUUUGACAUGC
Long non-coding RNA from Gallus gallus (chicken), 2401 nucleotides. Lineage: Eukaryota; Metazoa; Chordata; Aves; Galliformes; Phasianidae. The record is from Ensembl.